Molecule: long non-coding RNA, 2204 nt
Organism: Phocoena sinus (vaquita)
Lineage: Eukaryota; Metazoa; Chordata; Mammalia; Artiodactyla; Phocoenidae
Source: Ensembl
GGGAUGUACUUACGCAGGUGGCCAUUAGAACUGCAAAAUCACGACAGUGUGAUUUCAAACCACGGUGAUGCAGGCUUGGGUUCUGGCCGCCAUGUUGAGACAGAAACCGCAACUUUUGCCAUGAUUCUGUCAAACUCAGCGCUCCGAGCUGUUCUGCUAGAACCUUGACGAUGUUUGGAUCAUCUUACUUUGCUCUUUCAGAAUGAGCCUGGUGGGCUUUUAUUCAGGUUCUGAUUUUUUUCUUUUAAAGAACUAGAGUUUUAACUUCAUAUUAGUGGUAGCUUUUGAGUUUGAUCCUCACGCAAGUUGGAACCCUGUUUGCUUAAGCAGAGUAGAAAAGCUGAAGAAUCCUCGUUCCUUACAGUGGUCUUUCUGCUGUUUAAAAUACACAGAGAUUAUCUCAGCACCUUGCUUGUGUGUGUGGCUCAGUUCGCAUUUUCAAAAUCCUGCUGCUUCAGAAAUCUAGAGUACCAGGUAGGACUCCUUCUAGAUCUUGAUCUGAGCAGAAAACCUCAUGUGUGUAUUUAUAUUCUGAAUGCCCCUCCCCUUGACCCUGAAUAAGUCGACCUGAAUGAUAGGAACCCCAGAAGCCAACCCUAAAGGGUGUUCAAUUUGGGAUGGGAACCCAAAUGCCAAAGGGAAGUGGAGUCCCUCCCAGGUCCCACUCUGAGUCCAGGUGAGUUCACCUGUGGCUCAAAGUGCCUGGCCCCCAAGCCAGGAGUGACCUUUGGGUGAUUUGCAGCCGUGGGGGAAGGGAAAGGACGGCACCCUGCCACCCCAACCCCCUUGUAGACUUAGCAGCCUCCGCCUCUUAUCCUGGUCCUCUGUGGCAUGUGGCUCUGCCAGCCACUUAGCUUUUGGCUCUCUGAACUUUUGGCUAGAAUCUCAGACCACUGGUCCCAAACCUGGAGGGGCAGUUCCAGCCAUGUGGCGUGGACAUCCUUGCUGUCUCUCUGGAGAUUCUGAGCAUCUUCAGAGGGAAAGGGGGCAGAGUCCCCAUCUCCAGGAUAAACCUCUGAAAUGUAGGGCAGCCCUCCAGGUGCUUAGAGAGCCUGCCCUGUGUGUCCGCCAAGCCUGGCAGUUUUUAAAGUUUUUUGAAAUGUUUUGAUACUUUUUGAUACCAUUUGCUAAUAACCUUUUGUAGUUGCCUGCCGGGGUUCUCCACCUCCCCCCGGCCCCUCGAGCUUGCGCUAGACAGCAGGCGUCCCCGGUUCAGCACCAGGGUCUCGCCCACCUCCUGUGGCUGUGACUCUCCUCCGUGGCUGCGAUCUGAUACAAACUCUUGAAUUGUGUAAGGGCACACGUGGCCUGGGAGUGUGGCUGUCUUGGGCCCCCCAACUGAGCAGAAGGGCAGUGCUUUAUGAUGAGGACACUCUUAACGCCCUGAGAUGUUGUGCAUUUCUUCCAAAGGUCCUACCUCAGCAGUGUGCAGAGUUGAAAAGAUACCUGAGGGCUGAUCCAUAUAUCACCUGUCCAGUACAGGUCGUUCCUCAACCCAGGGCAUGGCUGGGUCUUGAUUCACUCCCCUCCACGCCUCCUUUUAAAGAGACAUUUUAACAUGAAAUCCACAAAAGCUGUUAACAGUGAACCAUCCUGCACUUUGCAGAGUGACUGCCCUUAGUUUUGGAGCUCGUUUAUUUCUUUUUUUUUUUCCCCUUUUUACAUGGGUAGAAUUUGUGGCUUCGCAGGGUGUUUGGGGGUCUCAAGAAAUUGUCUUUUGGUUGCCUUAGUUAAAAGAGUUGAAUGAGUGUACAAAUUUUGGUGGUAGAGGGGGGCGGAGGAGAAGAACCCUCCCGUGUCAGUUUUCUUUGAGAAAAGGAACUCCACUUUUCAGAGUUACUUGAGCCGUCCUUACAGGUUUGCUUGCGAUGGAAGGAAAAGUCCUUUGGACCAACUGAAAUCCAUCAUCACUACCAGCCCCCUUGCAAAAUGAGUAAGAUCUUUGAUGAUUAAGUAUUGAUAAUUCACUGGGUAUGUUCUGGCUACUACUGUUACCGAAAUCUGUAAUUACAUGUGUGCUCUUUUUUUUAAUUUGUUGCUUUUGUAUUUGUAUGACACCCAAAGCUUUUCUGUGUCUUACCUCUUCUUUAAUUAAUUUUCUGCACGUUGAUUUUUCCCCCCUCUGUUUUUAAUUCCGUAAAGAAUAUCCGAUUCUCAGAACACAUUAAACAUGGUUUGCCUGCUAGGGUCUGGCUUAUUUUAUA